CGUAGGGUGCGAGCGUUAUCCGGAAUUAUUGGGCGUAAAGAGCUCGUAGGCGGUUUGUCGCGUCUGUCGUGAAAAGUCCGGGGCUUAACCCCGGAUCUGCGGUGGUACGGGCAGACUAGAGUGCAGUAGGGGAGACUGGAAUUCCUGGUGUAGCGGUGGAAUGCGCAGAUAUCAGGAGGAACACCGAUGGUGAAGGCAGGUCUCUGGGCUGUAACUGACGCUGAGGAGCGAAAGCAUGGGAGCGAACAGGAUU
RNAcentral lists this ribosomal RNA (253 nucleotides) under uncultured bacterium. RNAcentral's name for it is "partial 16S ribosomal RNA". It matches the Rfam family "Bacterial small subunit ribosomal RNA", at positions 526 to 779 of the family's 1533-position model. The record is from RNAcentral.